Long non-coding RNA from Diceros bicornis minor, 1531 nucleotides. RefSeq lists it as uncharacterized. The transcript is spliced from 2 exons. The record is from RefSeq and is a predicted model, not a curated record. NCBI's taxonomy places the organism in Eukaryota, Metazoa, Chordata, Mammalia, Perissodactyla, Rhinocerotidae.
UAAAAAUAUUAUUUUACCUGCUUUAUUUCUAACAGACUAUGGAAGGCCAAGGAGAAAAGCAGGGAGACCUAUUAGGAAGAAGUUAUAAUGAUUGAGGCAAGAGGAGAUGGUGGCUGGAAACUGGAUGGUUGCAAUGGAGGUGGAAAUGAGUAGUUACAUUAUGGAUAUUUUGAAGGUAGAGAUGAUCAUGACUUGCUGAUAAAAAAUGUCAGAAGAAAUGAGGAGUCAAGGAUAAGUUCAAAGAUGUGUCGUGAAUAAAUGGAAAAGAAGAACCAUCAUUCACUGAUAUGAGAAAGACCGGAGGAGAAAACUUUGCAAGAAAAUAUCAGUUCAAUUAUGGAGAUGUUAAGUUUGAGAAGCAUAUUAGAAAUCCAGGAGUGGGGGUGUUGUAUAGGCCUUGCACAUGCAAAGCUGGAGUUCAGGGCAGAAGAACUGAGCUGGAGAUACAACUUUGGGAAUCAUCACCACAGAGUAUUUAAAGCCACAGGUCUGCAUGAGACGACCAAGAACUUUGGGCAAAAGCCUGAAUACAAAUCAGAAAUCUGAGGAGAACCCAGCAAAAGAGACUGAGGAGGAGUCACCAGUAAGAGCAAGGAUUUGUUUCCUGUUUCACCAAGGAGGACCAUGGGUUACAGAGAUUCAAAAUGGUAUCAGGUGAAGACCUGUCCAAUUAGGCCACCUGAGGGGUAAAAAAGGACCUCAGCAGAAGAAGGCUGGGGAUAUCAAGUGACUGGGAACCAACUUAAGCAAGUGUUCAUUUAGAAUACAGAUACAUCCCCCUGGGAUAAGGAAUUGGACAAGAGAGGCCCAGUUGGACUCACUGAAAAGGCCCCAAGACUGUCCAUGACGGAAUCAGCCUGAAUAUCAGAACCAGACAGGCUUAGGACUUAGGUCUAGGCCAGUCCCUUUACCUCUUCUCCACUCUACCUCUGUUUGAUCUUAGAGAAACCUAAAACAGUGGCAAGUAAGGAGUUUGGAAGAGGGAGAAAAAUACAAGGUGGCGAGACCAAAAGAGCCAAGCUCAGUGCUCUUCUUUCUUUAUACAGGCACCUAACAAGGCCUGAGAUGGGAGAGAUGGAAGAAGAAUGUAACGUUCAAUCAAAUUUAGUACUUUGAUUAAUAUCUGGGGCUUGGUAUUCUAAUUAUAGAAUUGAAACUGUGUUUCUAGUUUUACGGGACAAGUUGUAUCCCUUCAAAAUUCGUAUGUUAAAGUCUGAACCCCCAGUUCCUCAAAAUGUGACUGUAUUUAAAGAUAAGUUCUUUAAAGAGGUGGUUAAGUUAAAAUGAGUUCUUUAGGGUGGGCCCUAACCCAAAGUGACUGAUGUCCUUAUGAGAAGAAGAAAUUUGGACAUGCAGAGACAGAUACCGGGCAUGGGUGUGCAUAGAGGAAAGGCCAUAUGAGGACACAGCAAGAAGGUGACCAUCUGCAAGCCAAGGAGGGAAGCCACAGAAGAAAGCAAACCUACUGAAACUUCACUUUGGACUUCUAGCCUCCAUUACUGUGAGAAAUAAAUUUCUGUUGUUUAAGCUA